CCUAUAACUAUAUUGCAGGUACUUUAUCAUAAUUGAUGAUGUAUGGGACAUACAAUCGUGGAAAAAUUUGGACUGUGCACUGGUCAAGAAUGAUUGUGGUAGUGUAAUAAUGACCACAACACGUAUAAAUAAUGUAGCUGAAUCCUGCUGCUCUUCUCAUGAGGAUCUUGUGUACAAAAUCCAACCACUUCGUGUAGCUGACUCAAAGAAGUUAUUUUUCAAGCGAAUAUUUGGUUGUGAAGAAAAGUGCCCUCCUAACUUAAAAGAAGCAUCGGAAGAUAUUUAAAAAGAUGUGGUGUUUGCCACUGGCCAUCAAUGCCAUAUCUAGCUUGCUGGCUACUGGGAAAACAAAAGAAGAGUGGGAUCGCGUACGGCUUUCAAUUAGCUUUGCGCGAGGAAAAAAUUCUGACAUUGAUGCCAUGAAUUACAUAUUAUCUCUGAGCUACUUUGACCUUCCUCUCGAUCUAAGAAGUUGCCUAUUAUACUUGACUAUGUUUCCAGAAGAUUUGGAGGUUGGAAGGGAACGAUUAGUACACAGAUGGAUUUCUGAGGGCUUCAUCCACGGCAAAGGCGGGGAAGAUCUUAUUGAGCUAGGAGUGGCAUGUUUUCAUGAUCUUGUGAACAGAAGUUUAAUACAGCCCAUGAACAUAGGGUAUGAUGGAAAGGCAUUGGCUUGCCGAGUCCAUGACACCAUUCUUGAUUUCCUCAUUUGCAAGUCUAUUGAAGAGAACUCCUGUACAUUGUUAAGGGAUCAUAUAAAACCAGAUAGCAGAGUUCGCCAGCUCUUUCUCAUUGGAAAUGAAGAUCAAGUUGGGGCGGAGCAAUUGGAUUUAUCACAUGCUCGAUCACUUGCUAUUUUUGGUGAAGCCAAGCAAAUGCCUUCGCUUGUGAAGUCAAAUGCUCUGCGUGUGCUGGAUCUAGAAGAUUCUGAUGGAUUGGAGAAUCAUGAUAUCAAAGAUAUUGUAAGACUUUUCCAUCUGAGAUACUUGAACAUCAGUCAGGAUUGUAUAAGUGAAAUUCCUAGACAGAUUGGAAACUUGGUGUAUCUAGAGACACUAGAUGUGUCCACCUCAGAUUUAGUUGAGCUGCCUGAAUCUGUUACUCGUCUAAAUUAAACGACUGGCACGGCUGUUUGUUCCAAGAGGAACUAAAUUUCCUGAUUGUAUUGGAAACAUGGAGGAGAAGUUGCAAGAGCUUGGGAAUCAUAUAAAAAUCUUUUCACAAUCAGUGAAGUUUGUGGAAGAGCUUGGCAAACUAAUAUAUCUGAGGAAACUGAGUGUUUAUUUGGACUAUGAUGACUCCGACAAAGCAAGCUAUGAGAAAAAAGAAAUGCUAGUGUCCUCUCUUCCUAAACUGGACACGAGUAAGCUUCACAUCCUCUCUAUUGAGUUUUCGCUUGUAGGAAAGGAUGCUGGAACCUUGAUAGAGGGGCAUCUGUUUUUUAUCCCUGCUCUCAAAAGCAUUCGAGAGAUUGACCUCCGGAAUGGGCAACUCUGUUGGGUUACCAAAUGGAUGCUUUCACUCGCCAACCUUGAAAAAUUAACUCUUGCGGGACAGUUCAUAAGGCUCGAAUUUACUUGGCCAAAUUUCUCAGAACCAGUCACCAUCAGCGGCAGUGGGCUUUUUCAACAGUUGCAGGUGUUCGGGUUCACCUUGGGUGUUAGAGAGUUUAUGUUUGAAGCUUUCCCUCAUCAUUUGCCUAGAGAAGACGAAAUCUGCAAGUGGCGGUCGUGGUAGUUUUGAUAAUAUUGGCAUCCAACACCUCUCCAGCCUUGCUGAGCUGCAUGUAGACAUAGAUUGUGAAGGUUUGAGGGGUGCAGAUGUGGAGGUAGUGGAGGUUGCUUUCAAGAGCAUGGCGGAAGCACACCCCAACCGUCCUAAGCUGGAAAUGACGAGAGCCAGAUCGGGUGCAUGCUUUCAUAGGAGCUAGAUUCUGGAUCGUGUUAACUUGAUGGUUUUCCAUGUUGGAUCGUUUGCUUAUUUUACUUUCCAUGCCCAAUUAAUGGAUUGAUGAGUCGUUGUGGCUACUGGCAUGAUCUUGGCACGUAUUGUAGACUACAUUGUUUCUGCCUGCUGCUGCUGCUCUUGGCACGGAGGCGUUCUAGUUAUGUGGGCAGAAAACUAGCAGCAUCCGGUUUAGUACAAGUAGAUUCUUGAGCUUCAAAUCUUAUGCUAGCAUUGUUAUAGUAGCAAUCCUGACAAUAUGAUGACAGGCACUUCCUUCCAUAUCUUGAUGCUGCAUGUACGAUUGUUAUAGUACCUCCAAUUCUGUUCAGUUUAAAGUUCAGUUCAACAGACACCAACAUCCGGCGUGCACUGCAUUGCAUUAUUGGCCGUGAGAGAGACCGGAUCGAUUGCUUUCAAAACCCUGCUCUUUUGACCUGUGAAUCGUGACGAUGAUUCAUGUUUUUUGUUCUUCCAUAAGCCUAGGAUCCUUAACUCAUCUCUGGAGUCAUUAUAUGUAUGUGCUUCUUUUCAUUUGCAGCUACUGACAUGGUUACUGGUUGAUGAUCUCUCCCUGCAGAUUUAUUAAACUGUAUGCGUUCUCAGUGCUUCCUGGGCUUGAGCAACAACCAGGUUACUUGGUCCCUUUGUGUGUACGUUUUGAACAUGCUGAGAGAAAUGGUGUUUGUCAGUGGAUCAAUAGUUAUGUUAUGUGGGGGCUAAUAAUUAAGGAGGGUAAAAUUAUCUGGAGGUGCUCUGCCUGUUGGUUAAUCUCUCCCUGCUGUUUAAUCAAACUGAAUGCAUUUUAACCACCUCCUGGGCUUGAGCAACAACCAUCUUACUUGCUCCCUGCCUCUGUCUUUAUCUGAUCUCAAAAUGCUCAAAGAUGGUGUUUGUCAAUGGAUCAAUAUUCCCUGAUAUUCGCUGGAGCUCCUUAUCUCCAUGCCGACCACAAAAUGUUGUGUGGGGGCCAAUAAUUAAGGAGGGUAAAAAUCUGGAGGUGCUCAUCAGUGAACAAUUCCUUUCAGACUUAAAAUCUGGUGGUUGCCGACACAAUAAUUGAGUGAGGUGAUAAGGUUGGCAGCUGCAUGCAUGUGCUCUGAACGCAUCAUUGUCCUUUUUGUCUCAAGAAGCCAUAGAUGCUAGCUGAUCUCCUCCCCCCAAUAAAGUUACUCUGCUUACAAGCUCCAGGCCUGCAAGCAGCGGAUCUCAUCGCCGGGCACCGAAAAUCAUAUCAUCGUUCUUACCAGGUAACAGAAACUCCCUUUGUUUUCUUGCCCGAUUUCUCCUCCUCCUCUCUGGAUUGCCCCAACGUGACAUCCUCCCCAAUUGUCGAAAUAUUACAUGUAUCUAAACAUUUUUUACACAUAGAUACAUCCAUAUUUGAGCAAAUUUGAGACAUUAAUAUGAAUCGGAUGAAACCGUUUUAUUUUUGCCGUGAAUGAUAAGGGGUGCCAGUCAAAUCUAGCCAGCCAUGCAUACGGGUACUUUAGGUAUUUACUAACAAUCUUUUUUUCUUUUUCCGAACAGCAAAGCCAAGACUUAAUAAUCUGUGGACAAACCAUAUGGGAAGAAGCAACGACCAUUUGGAACACUUUGCAACAUUUUUGUUCUCUUUUAGGUCAAACUCCUAAUUAGGCCAAGUCUUCGGUUUUGUUUAGUAAGAAUGUGGUGGAUGCGCAGAGAGACAUCGUCAAAGGUAUUUUUAGAGUGGUAAUAUGAAACCUGAAUCCUUCCAUUUAGGCCAUCCUCUUAUAUUGUCUGCCAAAAAUAGAACUACUGCUUAUGAUUUUGUCUUAGACAAGUUAAAAAGUAAACUUAAUGGUUACAAAGCUAACAAGAUUUCUCAUGCGGGCAGACUUGUUCUAAUCAAAUCAGUUUUAGCCGCUCUUCAUGUGUACUAUAUGUCUAAUAUUUUGUUUUCCAAGAAGAUGUUGGCUAAAAUGAAUGCAGUGAUAAGAGACUUCUGGUGGACUGGUGUUCAAGAGGAGAAUUAGGCCUGGCUAUCGAGCAUGCUCGGCUCGUUAUGCUCGUUAACCUUAACGAACAUCAAAACAUGUUUGGCUCAGUUCGUUUACUGCUCGCGAGCGCUCGUUAAGCUCGUUAGUGGUGAAAAAAAUGGUCAGCAUGUAUGCAGAAAAAAUGACAAGCAAAGCAUGUGUACAACAUUAUACAAUAAGUCCAUAACUAAUAAGACUAAUAACCAUUACAGGCUACGACACAAAUACUCAUAAGACUAGCAGCCAUUAUAGCUUCGGUGUCCUCAUACAGUACAAUACAAAAGCACUAAUAAGACUAAUAUUAGUUUGACGAGAGUACGAAACGAGGAGGAGACUAGAGACCCGACUAACCUAACGAGUCUUGGGAUUGGGCCGCAUUCAGGCAGUUGGGCUAUUCGGGAGGGUGUGCUGGGCCUAACAAGUCGUGGGUUACUGUGUUUGGUUUGACCGCCAGACGCCAGAUAACGAGCUAACGAGCAUGCUCGCGAGUCUCGCUAGCUCGGCUCGUUAAGCUCUUUAGUGUUAACGAGUUUCAGGAGGUGCUCUACUCUGCUCUUUAGUCUAACGAGCCGAGUACUAAACGAGUCGAGCUACUCUCCGAAUACCGAGUAAAAUGUCCAGGCCUAAGGAGAAUCAAAAGAAGCCCCUCUACCUCAAGGCUUGGGCUGAGAUUUGUAAAUUCAAAAAAAAAGGUGGUCUAGGAAUUAGAAAUUUAGAAGCUGUCAACAAAGCUAUUCUAGUUAAUUCUGCUUGGAAAAUUGUCACCACUAAUCAUAGCACUACAGCAAGGAUCUUAAAUCUAAAUAUUUUCCAUAUACCUUUUUCUGGAAAGCGCCCACUGAUAUUCCUAAGUCCGCUUUUUGGUCUUCAAUUCUUAAGGUGAGGAAACCUCUUAUCAAUGUUGUUACUUUGCAAAUAUCCAAAGGUAAUACUUGCAUUUGGUCUGGUCCUUGGUGUCUUUUCUGAAAUAACAUUCACAAGUCUUUUUAUCCAGAAUUCUGGUUUUCAUUAUCCUACUAUGAUUAAAGAUCUUUGGAUUCAUAAUACACAAGUUUGGAAUAUGCAACUUUUAGUUACUCUCUUUGGUCAACAAAAAGUUAAUAUUGUCUCCCAGAUUCCUAUGAAUGCCGACCACAAAAUGUUGUGUGGGGGCCAAUAAUUAAGGAGGGUAAAAAUCUGGAGGUGCUCAUCAGUGAACAAUUCCUUUCAGACUUAAAUCUGGUGGUUGCCGACACAAUAAUUGAGUGAGGUGAUAAGGUUGGCAGCUGCAUGCAUGUGCUCUGAACGCAUCAUUGUCCUUUUUGUCUCAAGAAGCAAUAGAUGCUAGCUGAUCUCCUCCCCCCAAUAAAGUUACUCUGCUUACAAGCUCCAGGCCUGCAAGCAGCGGAUCUCAUCGCCGGGCACCGAAAAUCAUAUCAUCGUUCUUACCAGGUAACAGAAACUCCCUUUGUUUUCUUGCCCGAUUUCUCCUCCUCCUCUCUGGAUUGCCCCAACGUGCCAUCCUCCUUCUUUCUUGGAAGAAUCGGUCCAACGAAGAAGUAACACCUUGAUUUGAUUUCAGGGAGAGAUCACCUUCGUUUGAUUUCAGUAUCUCGAUCGAGCACUUGAUCAGGUGCUUUUUCGCGGAGGAUCCCCUGACGUACGGCCGUGUGCUUUUUUCGCUAUCUCCUUCUAAUCAAUUUGUUGCCUAACGCUACUGGCAGCAGUUUAGUCCGACUGUACAAAAUAAAAGGACACUGGGCAGUCUAGUUCUUUAAUAUGUGCUCAUUUUUGUUGUCUUGGUGCAGUUGCUCACAAAUCCCAAUAUAUAGCUACUACAUGAUCCUGAAGAUCUGGGAAUUGUUUAUUCCAUCAACUACACAUGCAUAAACCAAAAGAGGUUUCUUCCCUUCAAAGCAACCACUGCAUCGGUUUACUCCAUCAACUACACUAGCUAGUUGGAGAGAACUUUGUUCUGAUCGGGUGGAACCAAAUGGCUGAACUUUUGGUGAGCGCUUCCACGGGCGCCAUGGGUUCCCUACUUGGAAAGCUGGGCACCAUGCUGAGCGAUGAAUACAAGCUGCUCAAGGGUGUUCGUGAUGACAUCAAGUUCCUCAAGGAUGAGCUUGAGGCGAUGCAAGCAUUCCUCUUGAUGAUGGCAGAUGUGGAGGAACCUGACCAGCAAUCCAAGCUCCGUGCAAAUGCUGUGCGGGAGCUGUCAUACGAGAUCGAGGACAGCAUAGACAAGUUCAUGGCACUCGUGGAAGAUGAGCCUAGUUCCAAGUCCGAAGGUAUCAUGAGGCUUUUUAACAGUACCAAGGACAAGAUAACAAACAUCAAGACCCGCCAUAAGAUUGCCAAGGACGUCAAAGACAUCAAGAGCCAAGUAAAGGUGGUCAGCGAGAGAUACGCAAGGUAGGUACACAAACAAAUUUUGUAGAGCCCUUUGCAUUUUAAGGUCUUUCUGUACCAUCAGUGACAUAUACCCCGUGCCAUCAAAUUUGAUCACUUAUUUGGCCUUCUUAUGUCUAACUUCUUGCCCUGCCACUGAAGGUACAAGAUCGAUGAGUCCGCCAGAACUAGACAUGAAAAGGUCGACCCUCGACUGUGUGAGGUCUAUAAAGAUGCGUCAGAACUUGUUGGGAUCGAUGGUCCGACAGAUGAGCUUAUGAAGUGGUUGAGUGACAAGGAGGGUGAAGCGGCACAUCACCUUAAAGUUGUAUCUAUUGUUGGAUAUGGAGGGUUGGGGAAAACGACUCUUGCUAAACAGAUGUAUGACAAGAUUGGAACAAACUUUGAAUGUCGGGCCUUUGUGUCAAUUUCUCGAAGUCCUGAUAUGACGAAGAUCUUGAGUUCUAUAUUAUCUGAAAUCAGCAAUGGAAAGGAACAUCCUAGAUCGACGUACCAGCAAAUUAUCGACCAGAUUAGAGAUUUCCUGAAAGAUAAAAGGUAAUGUAACCAUAGUGUACAUAAGGUAAUAUUUGUAUUUGUACCAUUUCUCCAAAUGCACAGGCCGGAAAGGUUUUGUUCUAUUAUCAUAAAAAACGCAAGUCCUAAAACCUUUUGUAGCUCAGCCACAUUUCAUAUCCUUCCAUGGUUUUGAAAUACACAAAUCUUACCACAAUUAGUUUGUUAUGGCUUAAUUUUAAUUGCUACAAAUUAUUGCGUAGACUGCAAAGUCAAAUUCUACCUAAUUUAAGCGCCGUGAGACAUGUCUGAAAUCAUUGGUGAACUGUUUCUAGUUCAAGGUUUUGUAAAUAAUUAUCAAUACUUGAUCUUUCGUAACAAUUCUAUAACAAUUGGGGUGGGUUCCCCCCUUUUCCCAGAAUAGUCGCAGCAAAACAAAAGCUCACAUAAUGUAUGUUGCUUUUUAAAAAUUCUCCAAUUCAUACAUGUAAUGGGAUAAACGUAAAAUAGCACAACUUAUUUUGGCGCAUAGACGAUUACUUAGAAAUAUCAAUUAUUACCUCCUAAAGGAUUAUUUACAAAUUGAAAUGGCAGAAUAACAAUAACUAGUAAUUAAAUUAAAUCUUGAAGCACUACAAAAUUCCACAUUUGGAAGAUUGAAUCUGCAAACUUCUACAACUUCGAGAAAACACAAAGCUUGUGUCUCGGUGUAUUGAAAAGUAAGGAGUUUUACAAGCCGGACAGGCUGAGUACAACGUUUUUGUGAGGACUAAGCAACAUCCCACCCUGGGAUAACUAAACGCAACCCUUACGUGCCUCCCAAGGUCCACGCAAUGGCUUCGUAUUGGUUUGAUCGCAGAAGUAGAUUUCCAUCCAGUCUGCUCUUGUUGAAGAUGCACGCGUUUCGGUGCUUCAACAACAUCCAGGCCGUCAGCAGGCAGCAGCACCAUGCUGGAGAAGCCCUUUCUGAGCACUUUUGCCAUGGCUGGCUUAGCUGUUCUCCACCAGACAACUAGGUCCUCAUCGGCGGCUGGCGGCGCCGCAGUGGAUCAAACCCAAGACAACACUUCAAGCGAAGUGAUCGUAGAAGAGGCAGGCAGUGUAAUGCUCAAGGCCAUGGCGUUCUCGGCGCAUUUUCAUAUUUUAGGUAGCCAUAAAUCUCAGACGGUAAGAACAUUUUGCAAUAAGACUACUCGAAAGGACAUAUUUUAAAUUAACCAAUGACCUAUAAAUAAUCUAGCUAUAUCUAUACCGAUAAUACAUAGGACGAGUUAGGAUGGUUUAAUUUUGACCCAAGCUUUCUAGAAUCUUUAAUAUAAUUCUGUAAUGAUCUACCAAUAGUUGCACACAAGUAAUGGUGCACCCUUGAUCAUUCUUGUAAUUAUGAUAUUUUCGUGAUCUCAUUUUGUAUAGAUGAGAAUUGUUGUUUCUCUGUCCCUUUUUUAUGAUAUUUCUGAAAUAAGACUAGACAUACAGGUGCAGUGUAGGUUUUGUAAAAAAAACAGAGACCUGAUGUUGAAUUUAUACUAUAGCGGACAUACCUUAUAUAUUGUUCAAAGUGUGCACUGCACAUGUAUGAUUGCUAAUGUAUAUAUUAGUGAAUGGUAUAGCACACGUAUUCUAUUCAGUUCAUUACUACAAAUGUCAUGUGAACCUUGUAUCGAUACUCCUAUAGCACAUGAUGUUAUUUAAUAUUUUUUCCUAUAACUAUAUUGCAGGUACUUUAUCAUAAUUGAUGAUGUAUGGGACAUACAAUCGUGGAAAAAUUUGGACUGUGCACUGGUCAAGAAUGAUUGUGGUAGUGUAAUAAUGACCACAACACGUAAAAAUAAUGUAGCUGAAUCUUGCUGCUCUUCUCAUGGGGAUCUUGUGUACAAAAUCCAACCACUUGGUGUAGCUGACUCAAAGAAGUUAUUUU
RNAcentral lists this long non-coding RNA (8748 nucleotides) under Brachypodium distachyon (stiff brome). RNAcentral's name for it is "long non-coding RNA (BDIS_LNC002427)". Lineage: Eukaryota; Viridiplantae; Streptophyta; Magnoliopsida; Poales; Poaceae. The record is from RNAcentral.